This is a long non-coding RNA of Quercus robur (English oak), 756 nucleotides long. RefSeq lists it as uncharacterized. The record is from RefSeq and is a predicted model, not a curated record. The transcript has 3 exons. Lineage: Eukaryota; Viridiplantae; Streptophyta; Magnoliopsida; Fagales; Fagaceae.
CUUCUCUUCUCUUUUCUUCAAUCGCCUCCAUCUCUAAUUUUCUCUCUAAGUCUCUAGACUUCUCACCAAGGCCAAUUCCGAGCUCUCCUCUCACCAGAAGAAUAUCUUCAAGGUCGACGACCACAUCGGCGUCGCCAUUGCCGAACUAUCCGUCGACGGCCAUGUUCUCUCUCGGUACAUGCAAACUGAGGCCUUUAAUCACUCCUUCACUUACGAGUCUCCUCUCCCCAUUGGCCAACUCGUCGUUCAACUCACAGAUAAGGCUCUUAGAUGAAGAUGGGGCAAAGUUUGUGGAAUUGUCUAAAAAUGCAAAUGUUGUUCCACUCUAUUGAUGCAUAUUCUCUAAUCAUCUUACUCUGGUUCUAGCAUAUCAGUGCUUGGUUGAGAAGACAAUUGAGAGGCUCCAAGUUUUCUUUUUGAGUCAAUGUAGCCACAUCCUGUUGUUUCUAGAAUUGGAGGGUAUAGUGUAGUUGGAGCUCAACCAACAAUGGAAAUUGUUGCAAAAGAAAACAAGGUAACGAUAAUGGACCAUGAGGAAAGGAGUUUGACUAAAGAGUUGGUUGAAGAUCCAAUGGUGAUUACUAGAAGAAUCUCAAAGGGCUGGAAACCUCAACUUAUUGAUGAACUCCUAGACACAUUCUAUGAUAAGAAAACUUUGUUGUUGACCUAUACAUGUUUCUUAAUAAAAUCUUGUUAGGUAUGCUUGGAUAUCAUAACUUCAUGAGUUAUUUAAAUUUGGCUCUUGAGUCUUGACCA